RNAcentral lists this ribosomal RNA (279 nucleotides) under uncultured bacterium. RNAcentral's name for it is "partial 16S ribosomal RNA". It matches the Rfam family "Bacterial small subunit ribosomal RNA", at positions 506 to 784 of the family's 1533-position model. The record is from RNAcentral.
UGCCAGCCGCCGCGGUAAUACGGAGGGUGCAAGCGUUGUUCGGAAUUACUGGGCGUAAAGCGCGCGUAGGCGGCUAUUUAAGUCAGAUGUGAAAGUCCACGGCUCAACCGUGGAACUGCAUCCGAAACUGCAAGUCUUGAGUAUUGGAGAGGGAAGCGGAAUUCCUGGUGUAGAGGUGAAAUUCGUAGAUAUCAGGAGGAACACCGGUGGCGAAGGCGGCUUCCUGGACAAUUACUGACACUGAGGUGCGAAAGCGUGGGGAGCAAACAGGAUUAGAUA